UGGUUUUUGAGUUAUAAACCAAAAACUGCAUUUUACCCCAAUGUUCUAGUUUUAGCCAUGGUGGCCAUCUUGGUUGGUUGGCCGAGUUACCGGACACAUUUUUUAAACUAGAUACCCCAAUGAUGAUUAUGGCCAAGUUUGGUUUAAUCGGCCCAGUAGUUUCAGAGGAGAAGAUUUUUCUAUAAGAUUAUUACGAUUUACGAAAAAUGGUUAAAAAUUGACUAUAAAGGGCAAUAACUUCUAAAGGGGUCAACUGACCAUUUUGGUCAUCUUGACUUAUUUGUAAAUCUUACUUUGCUGAACAUUAUUGCUGUUUAGAGUUUAUCUCUAUCUAUAAUAAUAUUCAAGAUAAUAACCAAAAACAGCAAAAUUUCCUUAAAAUUACCAAUUCAGGGGCAGCAACCUAACAACGGGUUGUCCGAUUCAUCUGAAAAUU
This 436-nucleotide long non-coding RNA is filed under the name Mytilus galloprovincialis (Mediterranean mussel). Lineage: Eukaryota; Metazoa; Mollusca; Bivalvia; Mytilida; Mytilidae. The record is from RNAcentral.